This is a long non-coding RNA of Ostrea edulis (European flat oyster), 1858 nucleotides long. RefSeq lists it as uncharacterized. The record is from RefSeq and is a predicted model, not a curated record. The transcript is spliced from 3 exons. Lineage: Eukaryota; Metazoa; Mollusca; Bivalvia; Ostreida; Ostreidae.
UUUGAUGACCCCCUUCCCCCAGAUAAUAACACACGUCUGCUUCUGCGAUUCCGGGCUGAUAGUUAAACUUAUUCAACCGGGGAUGACAAUAGUCCAGUUUGCAUCUUGCGACUACUUCCUUCAUGUCACAUACCCAAAUGCCAAAUACAUUGCACACUGCCUCAGAAAACUGAGGCAUCAGAUGCGCAAUUCAACAAAUAAUGUCCCCUAAGCCGAAAUAUUGGAAAUUCGAAAUAACAAUAAACUAAAAGUAAAACAGAGUGCCAAAGACUGGAGUCUAAUCCAUCUAAGAAUCAGAGCUAUGCAUGAGGGAGAUACUCCUUGAUUUUGAAAUGAAUUUCUAAAUUUUAUCACAGCAAUUAAUAUACAUCCGUAUUUUGAAGCUAGUAACGAAGUAAAUAACUACUGGCCUGUAGAGACCCUCGGGGACUAAUAGUCCACGAGUAGAGGCAUCGACCCAGGGGUCGUAAUGUAAAACUUAUAUGGUACCAAUUUUGAUGCACCAGAUGCACAUUUCGACAAAUAAUGUCUCUUCUGUAAUACUCAAGCCGAAAUAUUGGAAAUCCGAAAUAACAAUAAACUUGUAAGAACUAAAAAGAAAAACAGAGUGCUAAGGACAGGAGUCUAAGAAUCAGAGCUAUGAAUGAGGGAGAUAAUCCUUGAAUUUGAAAUGAAUUUCUAAAUUUUAUCACAGCAAUUAAAUAUACAAAGUACUGUACAUCCUAAGAUAACGCACAGUGAUCAAUCUCAUAACUCGUAUAAGCAAUACAAAAUAAAUAGUUGGGCAAACACUGACCCCUGGACACACCAGAAGUGAGGUGAGGUGCCUAGGAGGAGUAAAUAUCACGAGUCGACCGGUCACACCCGUCUGGAGCCCCAUAUCCUGAUCAGGUAAACGGAGUUAUCCGUAGUCAAAAUCAGUGUGCCAAGAACGGCCUAACAAUCGAUAUGCAACAUGUCAGACAGCAUUUUGACUCAAUGAUGGGUUGUUUUGACGAACUAGAUUGUUAUAACGAAUUUGCGAAAUGCUGACUUCAAUCGAGACUGUUGAAACUCCUGUACCAUCAACUUGUUUGUCAGUAGUUUGCCUCGAUUUAAAAUCUGACUAUAUACGCAGAACAAAUUCUUGCGUAUCGAAUCAGUUGAGAGAUAUAAACACCAUAUGCAGGUGAUAAUGGAAUAUUGCUACAUGAAUAAUGGAAGUUGACAAUGGAGAAGCUGAAAUCAUCCCGUUUGUCAUACAGUUGAGUUGUCAGUUUGCCUUUAACGUAGAAAUAAACAGAUAAAAUGAAGUGUGAGGUAAGAAACAGUCAGUACUUAUAGUUCAUUUGAUUAUGACGUUUUUGAUCUGUAAUAUCUGCAGGACAAGCCCGUGAUUGGGAAAAAUUACACUUUUGCUAUGCUAACCGGUGACUUCCAGAUUUCUUUUGGGGAAACGGCUGAUUGUGGUGGAGAGAAAGCUGUUCAAAUUGCCAUUACUUUGGGAAUGCCGUAAUCAAUACUCGAUGGACAGGGGAGAUUUUAGAUCAGAAUGUAAGACCACACAUCCAGGAUUUUGAUAUAGUGGUUGUAUCGGGUGUAGUAUUUGGCUGGGCGACUGCAAUACGACAUUUUCAACGAUCCAUGGAUGUACCUGAAAUAUCGUUCCAGUGUAGGGUGGUGUGGAAGAUGUGGAUCAUCAUACGAACCGAUGAAACUUCGUUUGUCACCUGAAAUCGGAAGAGUGUGUGCUUCUCCCCGGCAUUCCUGUUGGGACAUCGGUUGAGUUUGGCAAAGACGUUGUUGAUUUGUUAACCAUUGCUAAAUGAUUCGUGAUUCCGGUAGGUUUCCUAAUUGGAGAUGAAGUCGAUGCUCUGCU